Molecule: long non-coding RNA, 1439 nt
Organism: Sus scrofa (pig)
Lineage: Eukaryota; Metazoa; Chordata; Mammalia; Artiodactyla; Suidae
Source: RefSeq, a predicted model, not a curated record
CUCUACUAUAAAUCUUUUGGUAAUUUCUUGCAAUGGAAGUAAUUGUUCUUUCUUUGAUCCCAUGAGCAAUUUCUCUAUACCUUUCUUGGAGUAUGUACUACUUCCUACCAAGGUUAUACUUCUGUUCAUUUCCCUCCCGACGCUGCUGCCAACUCCAUAACGGCAGUGUCUACAUCCCUAAUGUGGCCAUCUAAGGGGGCUGCUGUCUCCUGAGAGCACUGGUUUUUCAUUAAGAGAGUCCUCUUGAGCUUUACUUUCUAAGCUCUAGCCCUGCGACAGACCUUCAGUUAGAACGUGUGCUUUUAUCAUGAGCGUACACGUUUUCCAACAUCCAGUCCCCAAAGAAUGAUUUUCAGUUGAUGCACAGUGCCAAAAGGCAGAGGUGUGGUUUUUAGAGCAUUCCCUUAGCUCCCUUGCCUUGCAAAACUCUGCUGCCUUCCCGUUAAAGAGUUGGCUGUGCCAAGGAGGCAGAGCUCUUCCCACCCUCCUCUCCAACAGAGUUGGGAGAACAUGUUUCACUCUUUCGGAGGUUAUGCUUUUUGUCUUACAGGGAGACGAGCCCAAAUGAGAUCAGUUUUCAGCAAGUCUUUUGUUGCCAUGAGGAAGAAGAGACUGUCAGCUUGUUGCUUCUCCCAAACAGAGCCAGAAAUCUAUCUAUGAUGAGAUGAAGGACCUCACAGAGCCUGAUUGCUGUGAUUCCAGACUACAGCCAGUGAACAAAAAAGGAGAACCCUGAAGUUCCUGGCCCUGCAGGAAGUGUCCCGGAUGUGAGACGAAGUAGAAAAAUGUCCCCCAAAUCAAUAAGCUGGAGAAGAGAAAGGCCAACACGAGCAGUAGAUUGGGAAGGGAAGACGUGUAUAUCCUCCUGGGUGACAUCACCACCGCUCUGCCGAUGCAAUCGUCGUUACAUCUCUCAAGGAAGUUCUUUUGUGGCCCAGCCAUCUAGUCAUCCCACUCAGCCCCACUCCAUGCAUUCCAGGUUAAAGACAUUAGUGUUCCAGGAGAAACCACAGCAAAUAAUCAGACUCCCCACUCUUCUGUUUCUCACCAACUCAUCAUGAUCAGUUUCACUGGUGACAAUUACAUAUAUUCAUUCAGUGUACCACACAGGUACAAUUCUGGCUAAAGCAGAUUCUGUGGAUCAUGAUUAAGUUUGCCUAUUCUGAUCAUCUGAAUUUUGGUCGUACCUGUUAGGAAGAAGGACUUGAAUCUGGAUCCAAUGCUAAUGUGCUAUCUUAUAUUUGGCAGUUUAAUUUGCUUAAAUGAACCAGAAUCUUCAUCUGCAAAAGGAGAUCCUAAUUCCAAACUCUUAGUGCUGUUGUGAGAGUGCUUAGACAACCACAUAGCACGUUAUCUGGAAAACCUUAAACAACAGCUUUAAAAGAAAUUAUCAGGGAGUUCCCAUCGUGGCUCAGUGGUUAGCAAAUCCGACUAGGAAC